GAUGAACGCUGGCGGCGUGCCUAAUACAUGCAAGUCGAACGCUUUGUGGUUCAACUGAUUUGAAGAGCUUGCUCAGAUAUGACGAUGGACAUUGCAAAGAGUGGCGAACGGGUGAGUAACACGUGGGAAACCUACCUCUUAGCAGGGGAUAACAUUUGGAAACAGAUGCUAAUACCGUAUAACAAUGACAACCGCAUGGUUGUUAUUUAAAAGAUGGUUCUGCUAUCACUAAGAGAUGGUCCCGCGGUGCAUUAGCUAGUUGGUAAGGUAAUGGCUUACCAAGGCGAUGAUGCAUAGCCGAGUUGAGAGACUGAUCGGCCACAAUGGGACUGAGACACGGCCCAUACUCCUACGGGAGGCAGCAGUAGGGAAUCUUCCACAAUGGGCGAAAGCCUGAUGGAGCAACGCCGCGUGUGUGAUGAAGGGUUUCGGCUCGCAAAACACUGUUGUAAGAGAAGAAUGACAUUGAGAGUAACUGUUCAAUGUGUGACGGUAUCUUACCAGAAAGGAACGGCUAAAUACGUGCCAGCAGCCGCGGUAAUACGUAUGUUCCAAGCGUUAUCCGGAUUUAUUGGGCGUAAAGCGAGCGCAGACGGUUAUUUAAGUCUGAAGUGAAAGCCCUCAGCUCAACUGAGGAAUUGCUUUGGAAACUGGAUGACUUGAGUGCAGUAGAGGAAAGUGGAACUCCAUGUGUAGCGGUGAAAUGCGUAGAUAUAUGGAAGAACACCAGUGGCGAAGGCGGCUUUCUGGACUGUAACUGACGUUGAGGCUCGAAAGUGUGGGUAGCAAACAGGAUUAGAUACCCUGUAGUCCACACCGUAAACGAUGAGUGCUAGGUGUUUGAGGGUUUCCGCCCUUAAGUGCCGCAGCUAACGCAUUAAGCACUCCGCCUGGGGAGUACGACCGCAAGGUUGAAACUCAAAGGAAUUGACGGGGACCCGCACAAGCGGUGGAGCAUGUGGUUUAAUUCGAAGCAACGCGAAGAACCUUACCAGGUCUUGACAUCCCUUGACAACUCCAGAGAUGGAGCGUUCCCUUCGGGGACAAGGUGACAGGUGGUGCAUGGUUGUCGUCAGCUCGUGUCGUGAGAUGUUGGGUUAAGUCCCGCAACGAGCGCAACCCUUAUUACUAGUUGCCAGCAUUCAGUUGGGCACUCUAGUGAGACUGCCGGUGACAAACCGGAGGAAGGUGGGGAUGACGUCAAAUCAUCAUGCCCCUUAUGACCUGGGCUACACACGUGCUACAAUGGCGUAUACAACGAGUUGCCAACCCGCGAGGGUGAGCUAAUCUCUUAAAGUACGUCUCAGUUCGGAUUGUAGGCUGCAACUCGCCUACAUGAAGUCGGAAUCGCUAGUAAUCGCGGAUCAGCACGCCGCGGUGAAUACGUUCCCGGGUCUUGUACACACCGCCCGUCACACCAUGAGAGUUUGUAACACCCAAAGCCGGUGGGGUAACCUUCGGGAGCCAGCCGUCUAAGGUGGGACAGAUGAUUAGGGUG
RNAcentral lists this ribosomal RNA (1498 nucleotides) under Weissella confusa. RNAcentral's name for it is "bacterial SSU rRNA". It matches the Rfam family "Bacterial small subunit ribosomal RNA". Lineage: Bacteria; Bacillati; Bacillota; Bacilli; Lactobacillales; Lactobacillaceae. The record is from RNAcentral.